AUUGAACGCUGGCGGCAGGCCUAACACAUGCAAGUCGAGCGAGCGGCGGACGGGUGAGUACUGUGUGGGUACUGCCCGAUAGAGGGGGAUAACUACUGGAAACGGUAGCUAAUAACGCAUACUAUCGGGUAACCCCUUUGGGGUUGGCUAGUGGGUGAGGUAAUGGCUCACCUAGGCGACGAUCCCUAGCUGGUCUGAGAGGAUGAUCAGCCACACUGGGACUGAGACACGGCCCAGACUCCUACGGAGGCAGCAGUGGGGAAUAUUGGACAAUGGGCGCAAGCCUGAUGCAGCCAUCCCGCGUGUAUGAUGAAGGCCUUCGGGUUGUAAAGUACUUUUGGCAGAGAAGCGGUAUCUGCAGAAUAAGCACCGGCUAACUACGUGCCAGCAGCCGCGGUAAUAC
RNAcentral lists this ribosomal RNA (403 nucleotides) under uncultured bacterium. RNAcentral's name for it is "partial 16S ribosomal RNA". It matches the Rfam family "Bacterial small subunit ribosomal RNA", at positions 30 to 526 of the family's 1533-position model. The record is from RNAcentral.